GAAAUGCGAUAAGUAAUGUGAAUUGCAGAAUUCAGUGAAUCAUCGAAUCUUUGAACGCACCUUGCUCUCCUUGGUAUUCCUUGGAGCAUGCCUGUUUGAGUAUCAUGAAAUCUUCAAAGUAAAUCUUUUGUUAACUCAAUUGGUUUCUACUUUGGUAUUGGAGGUCUUUGCAGCUUCACACCUGCUCCUCUUUGUUCAUUAGCUGGAUCUCAGUGUUAUGCUUGGUUCCACUUGGCGUGAUAAGUUAUCUAUCGCUGAGGACACUGUAAAAGGUGGCCAAGGUAAAUGCAGAUGAACCGCUUCUAAUAGUCCAUUGACUUGGACAAUACUUUUAUGAUCUGAUCUCAAAUCAGGUAGGACUACCCGCUGAACUUAAGC
This 378-nucleotide unclassified non-coding RNA is filed under the name plant metagenome. RNAcentral's name for it is "partial contains 5.8S ribosomal RNA, internal transcribed spacer 2, and large subunit ribosomal RNA". The stretch from base 1 to 105 matches the Rfam family "5.8S ribosomal RNA", at positions 50 to 154 of the family's 154-position model. The record is from RNAcentral.